RNAcentral lists this transfer RNA (59 nucleotides) under Ctenophorus pictus. RNAcentral's name for it is "tRNA-Cys". Lineage: Eukaryota; Metazoa; Chordata; Lepidosauria; Squamata; Agamidae. The record is from RNAcentral.
AGGCCUAAGGGCCAUUUAAACCCAAAAUCUAACUUGCAAUUAGACAUUAUCAUUAGACC